UGGCAUCGAAAAGGGACGGGGUUUCUUACUAGAUUGAUCCGUAUAAUUUUGAUGCGAAAGAAUAGAGAGUCGCAGUGUUACUCUUCUUUACACUACCUGUAUCUGGAGAGUGUCAAGCGGUUCCCACAUUU
This 131-nucleotide small nucleolar RNA is filed under the name Caenorhabditis remanei. RNAcentral's name for it is "Caenorhabditis snoRNA ceN80". It matches the Rfam family "Caenorhabditis snoRNA ceN80". RNAcentral also lists the same sequence under 1 other name. Lineage: Eukaryota; Metazoa; Nematoda; Chromadorea; Rhabditida; Rhabditidae. The record is from Rfam by way of RNAcentral.